This 1905-nucleotide ribosomal RNA is filed under the name Triticum aestivum (bread wheat). Its description in RNAcentral is "partial small subunit ribosomal RNA". Lineage: Eukaryota; Viridiplantae; Streptophyta; Magnoliopsida; Poales; Poaceae. The record is from RNAcentral.
UACAGGAACAGUUGAUCCAAGAGCGCCCCCGGAGCUGAAACCUGGCAGAACCUGUUGAAGGUACUGAACGGGAUGCUGCUGCUACUGCUGUAGUGACGGUCGCCGGAGCUUCCAGCACGGAUGCUCCACUGGUAGGUGAAGUACGCGAUGCUAAAUCAAAACACACCCUUCAGUUGGGCCGUUAGGCUGGGUACCCACCAGCGCGGGUACCCGUGAGUUGGACUUACCUAUCCCAUACCCAACAGUAGAAGUGAGAACCAUGACCGGUACCCUUCGGGCCGGGCCGGCCGGGCCGGGCUGCGACGGGGGCCCGGCCCGAGCCCGGAUCAAAAACUCGGGCUUCCGGCCCGGCCCGGCCCGGGCCCGGGUAGUAAAAACGGUAAAAGACUUCCAGUCCGGCCCGGCCGGGCUUCGGGCCGCCCGAAAAUGCACGAGCCCGGGUCUUUGUGUCCGGGCUACCGAAAAAAACACAGCCCGAACCGAUCCGGGUAGGGCUUCGGGCCGGGCCGGGCUCCAAACCGGUCCACAUGAGUGUAGGUGUGUACGUAAAAUAAAUAGAGAUCCGGAUACCAAGAAAGUGUAAACUUCUUACUUCCGGGUUGUUACAAGCCGGGUAUGUUGUGUAUGUAGCAACCAAGUCCGUGGACGGCGGCGGAGGAGCGCGUGAGGGCGUGCGCGCGGCGCGGGAGUGGAGAGAGAGGGGGAGGUUUGGGAUGAGGCACAGGCGGAGGGACGGGGCGGCGCCCGGCGGCGGCGGCGGCGGUGGCGACGAGCGGGCCCGUGGGUAGGAGCCGGAGUGCGACGGGUAGAUCUCUCUAUCCCCGGCGCCCACUACUCCGGCUGCACGGCAGCAGGGCAGAAGACGCUCCAGCUCCUCUCGGUUAGGGUGGAACAGCGGUAGAGGAAGUAGGUCGGCCGACGGCGGAACCGGCUGAGGAGGAGGGGAAGGCAGGAGGAGGACAGCGCAGAGGUGGGGCAACAGUCUGGUGUACGACGAGGUGGGAAGGAGGAGGGGAGGGUAGCAAGGGAGAUUAAGAUCCUCACCCACUCCUCCGACUCGGUGACGGGCGGCGGCCGGGCGUUGUGGAGGACUAGCUGGUGCGGCUCCUUCGUGACCUGGAAGUAGGAACGCAGACACGUGGAGACCUUUCCUCUGCUGGGCUCCUAAAACGAUAAGGACAUCAACAAACAGACCUGAGACCUCUCCGUACAUGUAUACGUCUAACGGACCCUUAUUCCUAUUGGCUGUAACUGUCUUGUAAGACACAUAUAGACCUUUGCGUCCAGUCGUCACUGAACCUUAUGGACCAAGAGCGAUGUCUACCAGAAACCCUACAGCACGUUUUACUCUAAACCCCCCGGAACUCCGUAAGUUUACCUCGUGUACACAAGUAGAAUCUAAACCUCAUGCACGUAAGUCCGAAUUUACACGUUUACGUGUGACGACCUCGCGGGAAGUCGUUGCUCCUCCGGGUAGCGCUGUGUCGGCGGCGGACGCAGCCAAGAGGGGUCGCGCUGUACCUGCGGCGGCCGCAGCCAAGAGGGGUCGUGUCGGUGAGACUUCUGCCUUUCCAGGUGACAUCGACAACAAACAAGGCAAACAACUCCGAACCAGCCGGACGACGAUGGCAAAGUCCUCCAACGUUCGAAUAUGAUCUACUAUACUUCCACGAUAAAACAAACAGUCACUAUCCGGAGCACCUCAACGUCAACAACUGUUUAUUCUACGGUGGCAACUACGAGAGGUCGUCAUCGAUACGUCGAAAGAGGACCCUGGUAGCAGUAUUUGGUUAGUUGAGAAACUCUUACCUACAGCACGAGUGAGCGACCGAAGAUUAACGAUUACGGAACGACGAUAGUCCUCUUCUGUUGUAGUUCUUCCGGUACCGACUCCGUUUUGACACU